AGGAUUAACGCUGGCGGCGUGCCUAACACAUGCAAGUCGAACGGGGGUAGCAAUACUCCAGUGGCAGACGGGUGAGUAACACGUGGUCAACCUUCCCUUUUGUGGGGGAUAACUAGCCGAAAGGUUAGCUAAUACCGCAUACGGUCUCCGCCGGGCAUCCGGCGUAGAUAAAAGAAGCAAUUCGCAAAAGGACGGGACCGCGUCCCAUUAGCUAGAUGGUGGGGUAAUGGCCUACCAUGGCUCCGAUGGGUAGCUGGUUUGAGAGAGCGACCAGCCACACUGGGACUGAGAAACGGCCCAGACUCCUACGGGAGGCAGCAGUGAGGAAUUUUCCGCAAUGGGCGCAAGCCUGACGGAGCGACGCCGCGUGUGGGAAGAAGGCCUUCGGGUCGUAAACCACUGUCGAAGGGGAAGAUAAUGACGGUACCCUUGGAGGAAGCCCCGGCUAACUACGCGCCAGCAGCCGC
RNAcentral lists this ribosomal RNA (467 nucleotides) under uncultured bacterium. RNAcentral's name for it is "SSU rRNA". It matches the Rfam family "Bacterial small subunit ribosomal RNA", at positions 26 to 518 of the family's 1533-position model. The record is from RNAcentral.